This is a non-coding RNA of Paramuricea clavata, 450 nucleotides long. The record is from the annotation of a GenBank genome assembly. Lineage: Eukaryota; Metazoa; Cnidaria; Anthozoa; Malacalcyonacea; Plexauridae.
CGUGAGAAUAGUUAAUGAGCGCUAAACAAAAAAUCACAGCUGUGACCACAACUCAAUAGGUGACAUUAACUAGCAUAAAAAUUCGUCAACCGGUUAAACUUAAAUCGCGUCGCGAAACAAAUCGGUGUGUGUAACAUUGUCACGCAACGCCGAUUUGUGUCGUGUCGAAGCAUUGCAAGUUCUUGAUGUGAGAUCAAAAACUUGCAAUGUCAUUCUAGUACGUCAUUUGUUUGCGGGUUCUGGUUUCGAGAUUGCGUCAUUUGCCGAUUUGUGUUUGCAACGUUUCAUUCCCAGGCCCUUUUCUCGUGCGUGCUAUGACGUAGCAUUCAAUUUCUUAUGAAUUCUCCUGUCCAAACCUGUCGACGUCUCUUAUUUACUUCGUCAAAUUCCCUUUCUAGCAUUAAAAAUGCUGCAUACAACAACAACUUUGUGUCUCGCCAUUUUGAAUUU